AUAAAAAGUUGCUUAUGGUAAAAAAAAUAAUAUCAUAAAAGUGAAUAGAGAUUUUUCUAUGUUUUGAUAAUACCGGGGAGGAGCAAAAGCAAAGAAUAAAAAGAAAGCAACAUGUCGAUUGCAUAAUGGCAAACCGCUAUAAAAUCCAAACCUAAGUGAUGCAAUAUGAUUUAGGGUUUAGCUAUGGAUACAGAUCAUACAAAGGAAAUUAGGAUUUGUAUCUCAAAGGCCAAUAAAUAAAGAAAAAAAUAUACUUUCUUGGAGUAAACUAGCAAAAACUAAAAUUAUAUUGGGAAUUAAGUGAGAUAUAAUACAAAUAAUUGCAAGAAAUAAAAUUUAAAAAAAAAUAAUAAUGCACAAAACACUCCAAAAAUUACACAUAGAUCACCCCAUUAAUAGCAUACAUCAUUUUACCAUCAAUGCCGUUUUCAAUAUGAAAACAAUAAUAAAGUUUUACAAUCCUAAUCUCUCAAUCUUAUUACCAUUAUAAUGAUUGAGUUUAAAUAAAGCAUUUCUUCGCCAGGCACUAAUUAUGCUACUUUUCAAUCUGAUUUGAAAAAAAAAGAAAAAAAUCCUGAAAAUCUUAAAUUUCACAUUUAAUUCCAUCACAAAUACACUAAAAUUAGUAGUUAAAAGAGAACUCAUAAGAGUAAACCUCAUACUAUCCAGCAACAAUCCUCGUGUAAUUGCCGGUGUUUCAACAAUAUAUCCAUAACACAAAAUAUGUCGAUGCAUAAAAUGAGAGCAAAACAGAUACAGAGAGAAUUAUCAAAGUAGCAUCAUAAUACUUUUGCUUACACCCUUACCGAAGCCAUACAUCAGAAAUCCUAUAUUAUAACAGGUCAAAAAGAAAUGCAAAUAAGAUGUAAAUGUAAAUGAAAUAGAGACCACUCCCCUGUCCACUAAUGUCGCAGCAGGUAUAUGGAGAAAGUGGAGCAUUUGCACAGAGACAGUUAGUACUCCCCCGCAAGCCGUUGUUCGUGAGGACGAACCAUUAGCUUGGAUCUAAGAGAGAUAAAUUUGUUCUUCGGUAGACCAUUUGUAAGAAUAUCAGCUUGUUAGUCCAGGGAAUUGAGGUAUUUGAGCUGAAUUUGUCCCUCGUCAAUGUGUUAUCGGAUAAACUGAUAGUCUAUCUCGAUAUGUUUGGUUCUGGCAAUGGACAUAGCAGAGAUGUUAUCGCAAUAUAUUGGAGUAGGUGUGGAAGGUUGUAGUCCAAAUUCAACCAAUAGUCUUCGCAACCAUAUGGCAUCUGUGGUUGCCAAAGCAAGGGCUCUAUAUUCUGCCUCUAUGAAAGAGUGGGCCACAGUCGUUUGUUUUAUUAUUGUCCAGGAAAUGGGUGUCACCCAGGCAUGUGCAGAAGCCCGUUGUAGAUUUUCUUGUCAUGGCGUCACUUGCCCAAUCGGCAUCAACAUAGGUGUGAAGUUGAAGGUUCCCUAGGGAUAGGUGUAGGCCAAAAUAUUUAUGUGCCUUUAAGAUAAUUAAGGAGGCGAGUCAACAAGUUGAAGAGGUGAUCGGUCAUGAAGUGCAUAUUUUGACACAAUUGGUUGACCGCAAAUAAAAUAUAUGGCCUUAUUAUUGUAAGAUACCGAAGAGAUUUGCUAAGUUGACGAUAUAAAGUGGGAUUGUGAAAGGGUUUUUACUUGGUGCGGGUGGCCUCGAUUGCUUGAGAUGUAAGGGAGUAUUAACUGAGCUUUAUUUUAUCAUGUCGGCAGUGAAAAGAAUCAAAGAUAUGUAUUGGGAUUGUGAGAGAACUCAAGAGGUGGGAGUUCGGUUGGCCAAUAUACCCAUAAAGCAUGAGGUUGGCCCAAGAUGUUUAAGUUGGAAUUUGGAAAUAAGUUACUCCAUAGGUUGACAAAUGAUCUCUGUUUGAUUACCUGUUAUAAGCAUGUCAUGGACAUAAACCAGCACAUAGAUGGUUGUAGUGCUUCGACGGUAAAGAAGCAAGGACGAAUCGGCUUUACUCAUAGCGAAUCCCCGUUCACUGAAGAAUGUAGAGAGCAGAAGGAACCAUUGUCUCAGGGCCUGUUUGAGGCCAUAGAGAGCUUUCUGAGAAAGGCUGAAAGCUGGGGAGGAAUAAAGCUGGGAGGUUAACUCAUGUCAAUUGUUUUGGAAAGAUUGUCAUGCAGAAAUGCAUUGGAUACAUCAAAUUGAAGUACCUCCCAAUUGUGAUGUAAAGCAAUUGUCAGUAGGAAACAAAUCGUAGCUUUUUAGCCACCGGGCUGAAGGUUUCGUUGUAGUUGAUACUGAACUCUUGAUUAUACCCUUGAUCAACUAGCCUCACCUUGUCACGAACCAUUGUUCCAUCAGAGUGUAAUUUGAUUGUGCAAUUCCAGUCGGAGCAUAGUAUGGUUUUGUCGGUAGGAGUUAGAACAAGCUUCCAAGUGUCUUGCUUCUGAAAUGCAUCAAAUUUCUUUGCCAUAGCAUGGCGCCAAUGGGAGCACUUGGUUGUUUGACUGUAUAGGAUCAAGAGUUGAAACCACCUGAUGAGAGAGAUUGAGUUUAUGAACUGGCUUAAGGUGUCUUGUGAGCGAGCGGGAUGAGGGAGGUACCGGUUGGGACAAGCUGUUAGCUGGUGGAGAAAUGUUGGGAGUAGGUGUUGGUAAGUUGAUUAUUGUAUUGGAUGUUCGAAAUGGAAUGUUUGUAGAUGUUAGAAGUAGUGGAUUAGGAGUGACUGUCGAAAGAGGAGAUAGAGUCUGUAGAAGAAAUGAAGUCUUACCGAGAAACGUUCGUUUAUUAAAUGUAAUAUGGAGAGAAAUGAUAAUUUUCUUGGUGGAUGGGUUGUAACGCUGAUAUCCUGUAUGGGUGGAUGAGUAACCAAUGAAGAUGCACGGUAUGGAGCGAGGUGCUAGCUUAUGAGGUGAUUGAGGCUUGGACCAAAGGGUAUGUGUUGGUAAGGGGAAAUAUGAUCGAUGACAUUCAUGGGCAUUUUGUUGAUGAGGUAGGCGGCGGUAAAAAGAGCAUCAACCCAAAAUGUAAAAGGCAGAUGAGAGCACAAGCAGUCUCAAUAAUGUGUCUAUGUUUAUAUUCUACCAUCCCCAUUUUGUUAUGAGGUAUGUGGUCAGAAAAAUUGAUGAAUCGUUCCAUUUUGUUGGUGAGGUAGGCAUCAUGUAAGGCACAGCUGGUGUAUUCACCCCCACCAUCAGUUCGCAGGAUUUUAACUUUUAUGUUAAAUUGUGUUUGCAGCAUUGUCAUAUGAUGUUGAACUCUUAAGUGUAGCUUAACAUUUUAUAGUCAAAGAAUAUAUCCAACAGAAAUGAGAUUCAUCAUCAACAAAAGAGAUAAUAUUGAUAACCAUAAAUGGUAGUAAUUGGGGAAGUCCCGUACAUCGGAAUGACGUUCUGACUUCUUGUAUUUGUACAGUAAACUAGAACCAAACGGCUUUUUGUGUGACUUUGUAAGUCGGCAUGUAUUACAUAUGGUUAAAGAAGGAAAAAUAUGGAAAUGUUGUGUUUUAUAGAUGGUGUUGACGAUGGCUAGAUGUGGAUGUCCCAAGUGUUUGUGCCAAAGAUCGGAAGUGGCUAAUUUUUGGAGAGUGACGGAAAGAGCUGGAAUGAAGUAAAGUUCAUGGAAGCUAGGGCCUUGGAGUAGAACUCAAUUAGUAUGUGGAUCAGUGAUAGAAAAAUCAGAGGGGUUAAAAGAGACAAUGACUUUGUUAUCUUUCAUUAAUUUAUGGAUUGAAAGGAGGUUAUGAGAUAAGUAAGGUGAGUAGAAGCUUACAGUGUGGAGUGGAAAGGAGGUCGUCACCCGUAUGUUCAACCAUUGCCCAUGACUAUGUACUCGCUUGUAGUGAGUGGUUUCAGCUCCUGAAGUUAGUUGAUGUCGGAAGUCAAAUGUGCAGUAGCACCAGAAUCUAAUACCCAAUCUUGAGCAUGUGUUAUGAGAGCUUGAGGCAACUGAGGUGUUAUGUAAUCAAGAUUUUGUGCUCGAAAGUUGAAACAGAGUGUCCGACUUUAUGACAAAUUUGGCAUGCAUUAGUCGGUCGAGGUGUAGAGUAGCGUCCUCUCCCACCUCCACUUGAGUUGCGGUUGCGGCCCCUAUAGUUGAAGUUGGAUCGGUUCUUCGAAGCAAAUAGUGCAAUGUUUGGAUCAAUUGGAGUGAUGAGUUUAGCAUCUUCUGUAGCGAAGUUUGCCCCGUCGUUGCACAAUAGUGAGUAGAAAUCGUUCAAGUGAAUGGGUUGGAGAUGGUAGUCCAUUUAGGGUAUAUAGGAUAACAUCCUUUGGAUCAAUGUGAGCUCUAGCCGCCAAGGCAUUAUCUACUGUAGUUUUUAUUUCUGAGAGGUUUUGCGCCAUUGUAUUGGAUUUCAUGUUUAUGUGAUGAUGUUUAUUCUUCAACUGAUUACCUUAGAGCGGUUUGUAGGUUGGAGGCAUCAUUCGAGAGUAUGUCAUAUCUCAGUCAUUGUGCGGAGUUGGAGGGUAGGAUCAACGCUGAAAUUGUGGACAACAGGGCUAUGGAGAGAUUUUGAUCGUUGUAUGUCCAUGUUGUGAACUGGGAUUUGGGGCAUUAGGAUUGUUCGGUUAAGCAAUGGAUUGCAGUGGACACGGAUGACAGCCAUCCAGAAAGCCAAGGAAUUUGUUAGUAGUGAUAAUCCACAAUAUCUGGGCACGCAAUAUGGGAUAGUUGUCGGAUGUUAGUUGGUUUUGAGCUAGAAGCUUGAUGUGGGAGAGUAGAAAUGUCGAGGGUGAUCCAUUGAUGGCUAGACGUGGGGAAGAGAAUGGAUUGGAGGUCACCAAGUCUUCCAUGAAUUGAACUCACAGGGGGGCAAAUCAAAUGUACCUUGCGCAAAUGGGGUCGAAGAACCCUAGUGAACUGUAGUAGAGGCCACAUAGGAGGAUAUGGUUAAGGAGUGAGAGGCUUCCCUGGUAUUUGUGGCGAGAUCGUCCCUUUGUAGGCCAGACGCCUGCUCUAAUACCAUUAGAACAAAACAGAUGCAGAUAGAAUUAUCAAAGUAACAUUAUAAAACUUUUGCUUACACCCUUACUGAAACCAUACAUCUGAAAUCCUAUAUUUUAACAGGUAAAAAUGAAAUGUUAA
This is a long non-coding RNA of Phalaenopsis equestris, 5031 nucleotides long. RefSeq lists it as uncharacterized. The record is from RefSeq and is a predicted model, not a curated record. Lineage: Eukaryota; Viridiplantae; Streptophyta; Magnoliopsida; Asparagales; Orchidaceae. The transcript is spliced from 3 exons.